UGGAAUGAAAAUUGUGAGGUUAUUCACUUCUUUGGUUCUUCAUUGAACUUAGAACUUAUCAAGGCAACCCUUGUGGCGUUCAAGUGACUUAUCAUCCUGAUUCUAUUAGGGUGUGGCGUCAACAACCUUCUAUACCUUUGGUUCAUGUUUUGCUAAACAUCGGGUCAAGGUUCUAUCUCUUCCAAACUGAUUUUCAGACUUUCUUGGGUUAUUCAUCAACUUGUUCGUGGGUUUCUAAGAAUCUAUCUUACGGGGUUCACAUCACUU
Molecule: long non-coding RNA, 267 nt
Filed under: Phoenix dactylifera (date palm)
Lineage: Eukaryota; Viridiplantae; Streptophyta; Magnoliopsida; Arecales; Arecaceae
Description: long non-coding RNA (PDAC_LNC008472)
Source: RNAcentral